AGGGCACCACCAGGAGUGGAGCCUGCGGCUUAAUUUGACUCAACACGGGAAAACUCACCCGGCCCGGACACCGUAAGGAUUGACAGACUGAGAGCUCUUUCUUAAUUCGGUGGGUGGUGGUGCAUGGCCGUUCUUAGUUGGUGGAGCGAUUUGUCUGGUUAAUUCCGAUAACGAACGAGACUCUGGCCUAUUAAAUAGACGGUGUAUAUAAAAGUAUAUCGCACUUCUUAGAGGGGCAAGCGGCGUCUAGCCGCAUGAAAUAGAGCAAUAACAGGUCUGUGAUGCCCUUAGAUGUCCGGGGCUGCACGCGCGCUACACUGAAAGAAUCAGCGUGCGCUAUACCUAGUCCGGAAGGACUGGGUAACCCGAGUAAAUUCUUUCGUGCUUGGGAUAGGGAAUUGCAAUUAUUUCCCUUAAACGAGGAAUUCCCAGUAAUGCGGGUCAUAAGCUCGCGUUGAUUACGUCCCUGCCCUUUGUACACACCGCCCGUCGCUACUACCGAUUGGAUGACUUAGUGAG
RNAcentral lists this ribosomal RNA (519 nucleotides) under uncultured eukaryote. Its description in RNAcentral is "SSU rRNA". It matches the Rfam family "Eukaryotic small subunit ribosomal RNA", at positions 1161 to 1705 of the family's 1831-position model. The record is from RNAcentral.